AAAACGGCCCUUAUCAGGGCCACUGUAUAGCUUCUUUUAAGAACAUG
This is a non-coding RNA of Anopheles epiroticus, 47 nucleotides long. The record is from Rfam. NCBI's taxonomy places the organism in Eukaryota, Metazoa, Arthropoda, Insecta, Diptera, Culicidae.